AGCAGUCGCCACGGGAAUACGUAGGGUGCAAGCGUUAAUCGGAAUUACUGGGCGUAAAGCGUGCGCAGGCGGUUAUAUAAGACAGAUGUGAAAUCCCCGGGCUCAACCUGGGAACUGCAUUUGUGACUGUAUAGCUAGAGUACGGCAGAGGGGGAUGGAAUUCCGCGUGUAGCAGUGAAAUGCGUAGAUAUGCGGAGGAACACCGAUGGCGAAGGCAAUCCCCUGGGCCUGUACUGACGCUCAUGCACGAAAGCGUGGGGAGCAAACAGGAUUAGAUACCCGGGUAGUCCCUGUCUCUUAUAC
This 303-nucleotide ribosomal RNA is filed under the name uncultured bacterium. RNAcentral describes it as "partial 16S ribosomal RNA". It matches the Rfam family "Bacterial small subunit ribosomal RNA", at positions 507 to 807 of the family's 1533-position model. The record is from RNAcentral.